This 334-nucleotide long non-coding RNA is filed under the name Elaeis guineensis (African oil palm). RNAcentral's name for it is "long non-coding RNA (EGUI_LNC053487)". The record is from RNAcentral. Lineage: Eukaryota; Viridiplantae; Streptophyta; Magnoliopsida; Arecales; Arecaceae.
UACUGAGUCCAAAUUUGAUAGGCAAUUAGGCAUCAAAGUCCAUCGAUAUGAAACCUUGAUCGAAGAGUCCCAAACCAGUGGGACUCUUGACCCCGGUAUCCAAAAUGUAUGGAACUCGUGAUCAGAGAAUCUUGAUUCUCAAUCAUAGAGUUUUCGAGCAUUAGGACUCUUGGUCGAAGAGUUUCAAUCUAGUGAGACUCUUCACCAGCCAUCAGAUCAGAUAGGAACCUCUAAUGUGUGUGACUCUGCAGGUUCGAACCUAAGCCGGUAGCACAGGAACCAAUUUUUGUACUAAUCGAAGUGACCAUCUAGCAAUGGUACCCGAUAUCUGGAU